Molecule: transfer RNA, 67 nt
Filed under: Euphaea ochracea
Lineage: Eukaryota; Metazoa; Arthropoda; Insecta; Odonata; Euphaeidae
Description: tRNA-Ile
Source: RNAcentral
AACAAAGUGCCUGAGUAUAGGGUCAUUUUGAUAGAAUGGAAAACGUGAAAAUAAGUCACCUUUGUUA